GAGCGCAGACGGUUACUUAAGCAGGAUGUGAAAUCCCCGGGCUCAACCUGGGAACUGCGUUCUGAACUGGGUGACUAGAGUGUGUCAGAGGGAGGUAGAAUUCCACGUGUAGCAGUGAAAUGCGUAGAGAUGUGGAGGAAUACCGAUGGCGAAGGCAGCCUCCUGGGAUAACACUGACGUUCAUGCUCGAAAGCGUGGGUAGCAAACAGGAUUAGAUACCCUGGUAGUCCACGCCCUAAACGAUGUCAAUUAGCUGUUGGGCAACUUGAUUGCUUAGUAGCGUAGCUAACGCGUGAAAUUGACCGCCUGGGGAGUACGGUCGCAAGAUUAAAACUCAAAGGAAUUGACGGGGACCCGCACAAGCGGUGGAUGAUGUGGAUUAAUUCGAUGCAACGCGAAGAACCUUACCUGGUCUUGACAUGUACGGAAUCCUCCAGAGAGGGAGGAGUGCCUUCGGGAGCCGUAACACAGGUGCUGCAUGGCUGUCGUCAGCUCGUGUCGUGAG
Molecule: ribosomal RNA, 505 nt
Filed under: uncultured bacterium
Lineage: Bacteria
Description: bacterial SSU rRNA
Rfam family: Bacterial small subunit ribosomal RNA
Source: RNAcentral